GGGCCCGUAGCUCAGCGGUUAGAGCAAACGACUCAUAAUCGUUUGGUCGCUGGUUCGAAUCCAGCCGGGCCCA
This 73-nucleotide transfer RNA is filed under the name Chloroflexota bacterium. RNAcentral's name for it is "Chloroflexi bacterium tRNA-Ile". It matches the Rfam family "tRNA". Rfam says of the family: Transfer RNA (tRNA) molecules are approximately 80 nucleotides in length. Their secondary structure includes four short double-helical elements and three loops (D, anti-codon, and T loops). Further hydrogen bonds mediate the characteristic L-shaped molecular structure. tRNAs have two regions of fundamental functional importance: the anti-codon, which is responsible for specific mRNA codon recognition, and the 3' end, to which the tRNAs corresponding amino acid is attached (by aminoacyl-tRNA synthetases). tRNAs cope with the degeneracy of the genetic code in two manners: having more than one tRNA (with a specific anti-codon) for a particular amino acid; and 'wobble' base-pairing, i.e. permitting non-standard base-pairing at the 3rd anti-codon position. RNAcentral also lists the same sequence under 2 other names. The record is from RNAcentral. Lineage: Bacteria; Bacillati; Chloroflexota.